Melospiza melodia melodia is the source of this 1186-nucleotide long non-coding RNA. RefSeq lists it as uncharacterized. The transcript has 2 exons. The record is from RefSeq and is a predicted model, not a curated record. NCBI's taxonomy places the organism in Eukaryota, Metazoa, Chordata, Aves, Passeriformes, Passerellidae.
AGCCGCCGCGCCGCCCGGUGGGCACUGGGCUAAAGGGGGCACACGCGGGGACAGCCCCCCGACAGGACCCCUCGCUCCCUUCGGAUGUGAAGGAGGAGGAGGAUGGAGUGUCAGCGGCAUGGCAGCGAUUCCCCAGGAAUGAUUGAAGUGUAAAAAGUGCGAUUAAAAUCAGUGGGAGCUGUGUAGAAGCAGGAAGGGACAUACAGAAAUGGACAGUCCUGGUGGCGGUGCUGGCGGAAGGGAGCUCCGCACGGGCUCCGGGACAGGAGCUCGCAGGAAUCGCGCUGGCCCGUGCCAUCGGGCACAGACGCUGAGGUGAGGCUGGAGAGAAGCCUCAAGCAUGUGCACCUGAAACUUAGACACUUUAAAGACAUGAAAAUAUUACGAUUUUCAGGCAAAGUAAUGGCAGAGUGAAUUGCUGAAGAGUAAACAGCGGCAGGAGGUAAGCUGCCUGCCCAGGAUGGUGAAUUUCCAUUGAAACUGGCAAAGAGACCUUGCUUGGAGCUGAUCAACCAAAUGAUCUUGUUGUGGGCAGCUCAGGGUCAGCAGCGAGAGGAAAGGUGUUUAAUUUUGUGGCAUAAGGGACGGAAAUGAUUUGUAGUGCUGCUGGGGCUGGGGGGGGGUGUUGUACUCUUUUUCCUUCGUUUAUAGUAGUGCCCAGAGAUUGAUUUUUAGAGAAAGAAAACUGAGUUUACUUCUCAAAGUGUCAAAGCCUGAGAUAAUUGUAUCAGAGAAGUUCAUGGAGUAUUAGGAGCAAGCAGUUUAUCCAUGACACUGUUUGCUUUUUUUUGGUAAUGUAUAAGUAAAUAAAUAGAAAAAAAAUCAGGAUUUAAUUGUAUUAAAUCGUGUCUGUCCCAGACACUCAAAGCACUGAUGUUAACAUUUACACAAAACUGCAACAAAAAUAUUCAAUGUUAUAUAGUACUGCAACAAAAAAUACAAUGUUACAUAGGUUCGGCAACCAAACAUGAGCCAGUGUGCCCAGCCGCACAGCGCUCGGGAGGAUUGCCUGGUGUUUUAAUCACACUUCUGUUUCUUUUCAACAUGAUGUACAGUGUGCAAUUCAGAAAAAAACAGGUAAUUUCUGGUUUGGUUUUGUAGAAGCAGAUCAGGUGUUUUCAUGUUUCCCUUCUGACAUGAGUUCCCAAAUAUCUAAAAUAAAUAUUUUUCAUGGGUUAUCCCUGCA